GGAUUAGAUACCCUGGUAGUCCACGCCCUAAACGAUGUCAACUAGCCGUUGGGGGAAUUAAAUCCUUUAGUGGCGCAGCUAACGCGAUAAGUUGACCGCCUGGGGAGUACGGUCGCAAGAUUAAAACUCAAAGGAAUUGACGGGGGCCCGCACAAGCGGUGGAGCAUGUGGUUUAAUUCGAUGCAACGCGAAGAACCUUACCUGGUCUUGACAUCCUCGGAACUUUCCAGAGAUGGAUUGGUGCCUUCGGGAACCGAGUGACAGGUGCUGCAUGGCUGUCGUCAGCUCGUGCCG
This 294-nucleotide ribosomal RNA is filed under the name uncultured bacterium. RNAcentral describes it as "partial 16S ribosomal RNA". It matches the Rfam family "Bacterial small subunit ribosomal RNA", at positions 775 to 1067 of the family's 1533-position model. The record is from RNAcentral.